GUAGGUGAACCUGCGGAAGGAUCAUUACAGAUUCAGAAUAGGAGCCAGCAGUGCGCCGGCCCACCCGUCAGGGGGGGCCGGCGUUGCUCUGGCUAAGUGAGCAUAUGCUUGGGCUUCAUUUUUGUUCAUACGAACGUGAAGAAACAGGCAGUUGUACGAGCCUUCGAGGUCUCGGCAGCUGGUAUUGCGGUCAAAUUCCAUGUAGACGGAGCAUAGAUAGCUAACCCCUUCGUUCGUAGUCGGAAAUCCC
RNAcentral lists this unclassified non-coding RNA (250 nucleotides) under plant metagenome. Its description in RNAcentral is "partial contains small subunit ribosomal RNA, internal transcribed spacer 1, and 5.8S ribosomal RNA". The record is from RNAcentral.